AGACGGAGGGCGCGAGCGUUGUUCGGAAUCACUGGGCGUAAAGCGCGCGCAGGCGGGUGCGGAAGUCGGGGGUGAAAGGCCGGGGCUCAACCCCGGAGGGUUCUCUCGAUACUCCGUGCCUAGGGACCGGUAGAGGCCAGUGGAAUUCCCGGAGUAGCGGUGGAAUGCGUAGAGAUCGGGAAGAACACCGGAGGCGAAGGCGACUGGCUGGGCCGGCUCCGACGCUCAGGCGCGAAAGCGUGGGGAGCAAACAGGAUUAGAUACCCUGGUAGUCCACGCCGUAAACGAUGGGUGCUAGAUGCUGGGGGGAGCGACCCCGUCAGUGUCGGAGCUAACGCGUUAAGCACCCCGCCUGGGGAGUACGGCCGCAAGGCUGAA
RNAcentral lists this ribosomal RNA (378 nucleotides) under uncultured bacterium. RNAcentral describes it as "bacterial SSU rRNA". It matches the Rfam family "Bacterial small subunit ribosomal RNA", at positions 523 to 898 of the family's 1533-position model. The record is from RNAcentral.